This 264-nucleotide long non-coding RNA is filed under the name Lathyrus oleraceus (garden pea). RNAcentral describes it as "Pisum sativum (pea) long non-coding RNA (PSAT_LNC031439)". The record is from RNAcentral. Lineage: Eukaryota; Viridiplantae; Streptophyta; Magnoliopsida; Fabales; Fabaceae.
ACUUAGCCACAAUCAUUCAAAAAUUUGUCAUUCAAUUCAAAAUCAUCAAAGUUUCAACAAUUGUCAAUAAUUCAAGAAAACUCAUCAUCAAGAAUUCAUAAAUUUCAAUCAUCAAGAUUCAAGCAUUAUCCAUCAAAUUCUACAUUCAAUCUUGGGAAUUAAUGGAAGUGUAGGAUCUUACCUCUUGAAAUUUUACGUUUCUCUUCAACGCGUCGUCUACAAACAACUUCUAACAGAAGCAAACCUCCGCUCCGUCGAUAAUUC